This 253-nucleotide ribosomal RNA is filed under the name uncultured bacterium. RNAcentral describes it as "partial 16S ribosomal RNA". It matches the Rfam family "Bacterial small subunit ribosomal RNA", at positions 524 to 776 of the family's 1533-position model. The record is from RNAcentral.
CACGGAGGGGGCGAGCGUUAACCGGAUUUACUGGGUGUAAAGGGCGUGUAGGCGGUCUUUCAAGUCCGAUGAUAAAGACCGGGGCUCAACCCCGGGGGUGCGUUGGAUACUGUGAGGCUAGACGGUCGGAGGGGGUAGCGGAAUUUCCGGAGUAGCGGUGAAAUGCGCAGAUACCGGAAGGAACGCCGAUAGCGAAGGCAGCUACCUGGACGAUUGGGGACGCUGAGGCGCGAAAGCGUGGGGAGCAAGCCGG